AAUAUCAGAAUACUAUGACCUACAGAUGAAGUCACCAAUUAAUACCACCAAGAAUGUGGUGAUGAAUACACUGCAGAUGUAACAGAAUUCUGGUUGUGACAUGACUCAUCCAGAAUCUUUAAAGAUUAGGGAUACUAGAAUCUCCAAUUAUGGACUUCCUAGAUGGUUUUGCAUCCAAGCAUUUACCAGGGCCAACCUAGACAGAAGAAUCAUAGGGAGCCAGACAGCAUACAAAUUUAAUAAUAAAAUAAACUGUAGAAGAACGCUACAUUUGGUAUUGCUGUAAUAAGGUUGCGUGAAAUUAUAUAGCUCUAUAGUUCUUUUCCCAUUGAAUUAGGAGAAACAAAUAUUUAAAAAAACACAGAAUAUCAAUCAAGUGUAAUUAUCUUUAAAUAUUCCCUAUGCCUAGCAGAUUAAAAUAUUUUUUUUACUGACAGCUUUCUCACGUGGAAACAAUAUCUAAAUUCGAAUACGCUUUUCAGACACUUGUCUGAGAAAGAUAAAAUUCCCAAACAGCAGACAGAGAUAUAAUAUUAUAUUGCAGAAACAUCCAUUUACAAGCAUAUAUUACAAAUUGGGAACAUAACAACUAAUGCUUCCAGACUUUAAAAAAUGGAACAGUGUUUCUCUUUAUUUUCUGAGACCUGCACUGAUGAUUCAUUUGCUAUUCCUCUGAAUAAACAUCUACAGUAUUUCAUAUUUACAUUUUCUUUGAUUACUUUGGAAGAAAGGGGAGGAGGGAGCCAGACCUCUAACCCCCAUCAUUAUUACUGAGCUAAAAACUACAGAAGAUAAAUACUAUGUUCACUUUUACUGUUAACCUGGAGCAAUAAUAAUAAAAGGGUUUAUUUCUGUUUUAUUUUACUCAUUCAUCCUAUAAAAAUAAGUGAAAUAAGCACGCACAUAACAGCCCAUUAUUAAUUAUUUGCAUAUGGGUUCAAUUAAAAUCAAUAUGAAAGAUUAUUAACUAGUUUUUCAGACUGAUUUCAAUGGGAUUUAAGUGCAACUUUAUUGUUUUAUGACAGGUAGAAGUCACCUAUUCCAGAUGACUAUGGGCAGCUUAGAAUUUUAAAAGAAAAAAAAACAAACAUGAAACACAGAAAAAGAACCUUGUGUGUAUAAAGGGGGAAAAAAUCAAUAUAAAGAAAAACAACCAAUAGGCUCAACACCCACCCUUCCCCAAGGCUUGGCAGAUUUUCACAGACAUUUGAAAUACCAUCACAAUGGAGCCAUAGGCACCCUUAGAAUAGUGGUGUUCCAUAACAGGGGACCACCAUUGCAAUAGAGAAGGGCCACUUCUCGGAUCCAGUCAAAUGACACUGUUUAACAAAGGGAGCUUUGUUGAGCUUUUAAAUCAAAUUACUAAUUGACAGCUCCCAGAUAUGAUAACAAAAGCAUCAAUUCUUUUCCUUAUUUAUGCCACCAGCAGGAUGGGCUUGAUAGCAUAUGAGAUUUCCUUAUUUCCACUGAAGCAACAAAGGAUUAGUGCGAAUGGCAUGACUGAAAUGGAAAAUAUCUGGAUCUGGAAGAUUCUUUCACUCAAAGGCUAGAAAUAGUUUUUAUGGGAACCAUUCAAGAAUCUCUGAAAUGUGCAAUUAAACAAAAUGCAUGUUAUGAUGCUGUACACAUAAUUUUUAUGCUAUUGUGGACAGCAGUCCAUGAAAUACCUCAGAAUGGAGGCAGUGAAAUUUUGAUCAUAAUAAAAAGUUGUGCACAUUAACUAGAUGUUUUUAAGAAUCUGGGUCCUAGCAUAGCUAUACACUCAGUAACCAGAAUUCUGGCAUCUAACUACUAUUUGGAUAAGGCUGCUUUACUUAAUUUCUCAUUUAUUGAUUUAUUACAUUUUCAUUCUUUUUUCAUGAUCUCUGUAACAUUCCCAAAGUGUGUAUGUUAAAAUACAUAUGCUUAUUCCUUCUCCAUAGAUAGAGAUUUUAGUUAAUAGUAAGUAUAAUAAUUCUACAAAGCAAAUUGUAACCGUAAAGCCACACAGUGUCAAAGCAAAUGCACACCCAAAACCUCUGUCUCCAACUUGAGAACUAGCUGGUUUAGAUAAGAAUCAAGAGCCAGAGAAAUUAGUACAGACAUAUUUAUUAUUUUUAGAAAUACAGAGCAUCCCUUAGUGUGUAUGUAAAAUAUCUGCAUGUUUAAGACACAGAUCUUUUUGUUUCUGUGUGCUGCAUGGCAAAGAAGCCACACCAACCACUGUAAAGAAGUGAGUAGUAGGUAGUGAGCAGGCGGCUGUUUUCCAAUGCAGAGAAGCCACGUAGGAGCCUUAGGGAACAAACUGAAUCAACUAAUCUGUCAUCUCGCCCUCCAAAACAGCAGGUGCCUGGGAGUCUGAGCAAUGCAUCGGCCUAGUAGAUGAAGCUCCCAGAGGGGAAAAAAAUAGCUUGAAGAGGGACAGUAGAUCUGUGGCAAAUUAUAUAUGCUUCAAGCAUUUCUCCAGUUAUUUUUCUUUAAAUAAGGAACAUGUUAUUUGCCAAAGCUUCUCAAGGAACAGUGAACCUGAGAUGUUAAAGAGUUCCCAUCUGUCCAACUAGAAACUCAUAGGCUAGAAGGACCUUCCCAUGAGGCAGCUUCAUAUUUUCACAUUUUCAAGCACAAUCUGAAAAGUGGGGAGGCAGAUGAACACAUUCUUGGCUCCUGUUAUCCACAGCACCUAAAUUAUCUGAAUUCAAAUUACUCUGGUAAAGAGUACCUGGAAUUUCCUGGCAGUAGACUUAAUAAGCAUUUAAAUACUAAGUUGUAGGAUCCUGUAAACUUGCCCCGUUCUCUGAAUUCACCUCUUCCCUCUGGCCACAAAGACUGAUCUCACUAUACCUUCUUAUGCAAAUAAAGCACCCUUUUUACUCAGGCCUAUAGAUCAAGCCAGCAUUUUCAGUGGCCUAAGUAUAUUUGACUAAAUUAAGGGUGGUUUUUACUGCAUCCAUCCAAAACAAAUAAUAACAAUGGUCUUAAUCAGUCUGUAAAAGAUGCACAUAUAAUAUUCUUGUUGGAAAAAACAGAUCAAUAGUAAGAACCAGAGAGAUAACAGUAUAUCUAAGACCUUUUCAACCCCUGUUGUAAACCACAUAAAAGAUAGAUCAACAUUUAACACGGCUCAGCGAUUGUUGAAUUCAGCACCUGAAUUCCCAUUUGCAAAGACAUUUAGUUGACUGCUUUUCUUGUUGAAGGGAAAA
Long non-coding RNA from Crotalus tigris (Tiger rattlesnake), 3179 nucleotides. RefSeq lists it as uncharacterized. The transcript is spliced from 2 exons. The record is from RefSeq and is a predicted model, not a curated record. NCBI's taxonomy places the organism in Eukaryota, Metazoa, Chordata, Lepidosauria, Squamata, Viperidae.